RNAcentral lists this long non-coding RNA (5703 nucleotides) under Taeniopygia guttata (zebra finch). RNAcentral describes it as "lncRNA (ENSTGUG00000022085.1)". Lineage: Eukaryota; Metazoa; Chordata; Aves; Passeriformes; Estrildidae. The record is from RNAcentral.
GGACCAAUCCAGAAGAAAAUCCAUGCAAGAGCUGCAGGACAGAUCCAGGAGAAAAUCCAUGCAAGAUCUGUAGGACCAAUCCAGAAGAAAAUCCAUGCAAGAGUUGCAGGACAGAUCCAGGAGAAAAUCCAUGCAAGAGCUCUGCAAGGACAGAUGCAAUAUUUGCAGAAUGUCACCUUGUAGUGUCCCUGUGGUUUCCAGGUGUGAAAGGAACCAAUAUCAGCCCUUCCAUCUGUCCUGUCUGCUCCAGAUCCAAGCCCAGCUCUGUCCCUGACGCCUUGGAGGCACUUAUGGACUGCACAGAAGGCUCUGUGUGCACAUGCCAAGGUUUUCAGUGGAAAAGGCUGAAGAUCAGCUCCUGACCUUCACCCUGAAGUGAUUUAGGAGGGCUCGACUCCCGAACUUCACCCUGUGGUGAUUUAUGAGAGCUCAGCUCCUGAACUUCACCCUGGAGUGAUUUAUGAGAGCUCAUACACUCAUUUCCCCCAGCUCUGCUGGGAGGAUAACCCCAGAGGAGUGACAGAGCUGGAGUCUGGCUGGCAGCUGCCUGAGCCUCGGGCUAGAGUUUGGCUGAACUGAGCUUUUCCCAUCUGCAGGAUGGUGCUGAUAAUCCUCUUACCCGCUGAGAAUUUGGUGCUCUCCUCCGGAGGAAAGCACAAGGUGAGAGUAUCUGGUGCUGAUGACCCAGUGAGUGUUUGGCAGACACAUUUUUGACUGUCAGAGAUGCUGUUGGAAGCCUGUGCCAGCUGCCCUCUUGGGAAGAAGGAGGACAAUGCACAUCAGUGUCAUCUUUAGAGAGAAAGAUGCCAGAAGAGUGGAAGGAGGCACUACCAGAGGAAGAAAUUCACAUUCUCAACCAGCUGAAAGAGAAAACAAUGUGUUAACUACUAUUUGAAGAAAUAUAGAAAAUACAGCAACAAACAGAUCCAGGAUACCCAGCAGGGAGGCGCUUUGUUUUUAUUGGCUCCAGGGUGUUCUCUUCUGGAAGGGGAAUUGAACAAUCUCCAAAACCCGCCAGGCAAUGGAAUUGCAGGGACACACUAUCAGUGGGCUUUAAUAAGUGAGCUGCUCAUGGAAAGGGCUGCCCUGGAGGAGGAAGUUCUGGGCUGAGCUGAAGAUAUUUAGCAGAUGGGGAGGAUUAUUGUAAUCUUUAUCCAAAACAGCAAAUAUUUCAUUCUGCUCUAACCAAACCAGAGGCCCAAGUAGAGUGGCCAGCCUGGAGGUGUAAAUGGAAGGAAUAUUAUGGUAAUGGAAGAGAGAAGAGGCGAGGAAAGCUUGAGAAGUGCUGGGUUAGAGGUUCUGCAGGACAGGAGAGAACUCGUUUUUAUUUGCUGAAAAACCUAAAUCCCCUGAGGUUCACCCUCAGGUAGAUCAUUCAUCCAGACAGCAAACCAUAGGAUAGAAUCCUAAAAUGCUUUGGGUUUAAAGGGGUCUAUUUCCACCCCACACCUUCCACCAUCCCAGGCUGCUCCAAGCCCCAUCCAACCUGGCCUUGGACACUUCCAAGGAUCCAGGGGCAGCCACAGCUUCUCUGGGAACCUGUGCUUGGGUCUCCCCACCUCCCAGGGAACAAUUUCUUCCCAAUAUCCCACCUAACCCUGCAUCUUUCUUGGGAUUGUUAUGGGGCCCUCUUAAGAGUCAACAGGUUUGACUCAUAAAAUUGAAAGAUGAAGUGUGGGCUGGUCCUCAAGGGCUAUAAGGAGCACAAUUACCAUCAAAAUUAAUCACUUAAUGAUUAAAACAUUAAUGUUUAACUUCUGGGAUGAGAUUCUUGGUUUUUAGGAAGCCAGAGAAUCCCCAGUUAAAUUCUGUGGAAUUCAUACAAGAUGUUGAGUACCUGGAGCAGGAAGUCUCAUGUUUACACUCAAUCCUCUCUUUUUAGAGCUGUAGCUUUUUGGCUGGGAUGGUUCUUCAAGCUGUACAUUUUUUUAACCACUAAAGCUUUAAUAUUUUGAAACAUAGUGAUGCUGCAUUUGAGCCAAUUCCAUAUUUUUUUGCCUAACACUGGGCAUAACUCACAGCAGACCUUUUAAUGCCAGUCAGUAGAAGGCUGGAAUCAAAUUUAGAGGAAGAGGGAAUUUUUUAUUUGCCUUCUGAAACCAGUUGGGUGAAAGAAAUCAUCUGCUGAAAAGCCAUGGAAGCUCAAAGGGCAUUUGGACAUCGUGGGUGAAGAUUUGUCAUCUCUCUCCAGCUCACACUGCUGCUCUUAGUCCAGCAAGCUCAGCCAUGGCCAUUAAUAUGCAAAACACACGUGCUCCUAAAUUAUGAAGUGAUAUUUUUGGAUUAUCAUGCCCAGCUAGGAGAAGUCUGCAUUUGCUGCAAAGAAAUCCGUGGAGGGCAUCAGCCCCGUGAGGGGAGAAAAUGGAACAUUGUGAAAGCUUUGCUGCAGCACAGCUGCUUUUCCCAUCUCCUUUUACUUGUUUGAGAAAGUUUGCAAUCCCAAAUUACACAGGGCAGGGAGGAAUCAUGUAAACACAAAUCUGGGAUAGCAGGGAAAACAUUGGCUUCAUGCUCUGAGGGCAGAAAACCUGGAAAACGGAACACUGGUUAAUGGUUAUCUCCUGUGAAGGGAUCACAGGGGGAGGUUAAAGUUUUUUCAGUGUUUUUUUAAUGAUAUCUGCAGUGUGAGAUCCAGGUUUUUAGGUUGGCCUCAAGUCUGAUAUAAAUAAAUGAGUUUGGAAAGUGAGCUGUGAAAUCUCAGUUUAUUCACAAGCUGGCUUCUCUCAGCUGCAAAAAACUUAACCCGUGUCAGGAUCCAGCCCAUGAAGGAGGUCAAAAUAUUCUGCUGGUGUUUAGUGCAGCCCACCUUCAUUUUUUACAGUUUCUGUAUUUCCUGAGGCUGGCACCAGCUGUUGGGACAAGCAGGCAAGAUGGGCAGGUUUGAGUUAUUUUUAUCCCCACAGCUGUUCAAUCAGACUCUCAUUUAGCAGCUCAAUUCUGCACAUAAUCUCAAUGUAAUUAGAAGGUUUAGGUAAAAUUCAGAAAUGUACUUAAAAUUUUGGUAAUUAUUAUUCUAGAAUCAGCACCGGUUACAAGCACAUAAUUAUGCUUGGUGUAGUACAAACUCAUUAUGGGAUAUAAUUCUGGCCUAUGUUGUUUGCAAUAGAGCUAAGAAUUUUCUUUUUGCACAAACCCUGUUUUGCAAAGAAUAUUUUUUAAAAAUCUAUCAGCUAAAGGACUGGGUAUAUUCCUGUAGAGUUCACAGUUUAAAAAAAAUAAAAAGCUUAUACCUUUGAAUAGUCUUAUAAUGUUGCAUUGGUGAUUUUGAACAAACUGUUGUUAAAAAAUUAUUCUGCUUUAAAGAGAAUAAUUAGGAUAAGUGUUGACUAGGAUGAAUGAAUUGGUUACCACAAAAUCAUUUUCCCCCUUUUUUGUUCAUUAAGAUAUUAAAGUUUUGGGGGCUGACCCAAAUAAUUUCUUUUCCAUAUUUCUGGUGGGUUUUUUUUUUUUUUGGCACUGCAAAGAAAACAAGAUUUAGCUUGCUUUAUUAAGUUGUGAAAAACAGAGAUUGAAUGAAUGAGGGACCUGGCAGGAAAACUCCCAGUAGCUUGAGGGAAAAUAUGGAAUUCCACUGGUUUCCAGCCCUGUGUUCCACCACUGGCUCAUCCUCCCUCCCUAAGACCUCUUGCAUUCUCUAGCAAUUAAAUCUGUGGCUUGAAACACAGAUAUCAUUCAAUUAAUAAAGUUUUUUUUUUUUUUUGCUCCAUCAUUAUUUAUUUAGAAUGACACAGUUCUUAGGUGCUGCUCUACCAAACUGUUUAUGAUCUGCCAGCACACCCCCAGCCAAGGAAUAUUGAUAAGUUGUUUUCCCCACACUUCAUCUUAUUUAUUUCACCUACCAGACAUGUUCGUGUACUCACUUCCUACUCUGGUGCUGCUCUGUGCAGAAAAAACCCCAAUAAAUUAAAAAUAUGUUAAGUGAGGGGGUAAAACCUAUGAAAACAUUAUUAUGGAUCAGUGCCCAUAUGGGUAUCCUGUCCUCAAUAUGUCUAAAGCACCUUCCCAGGGACAGGUAUUGGAAUAUGAGAGGUUUCCUUUAUAAAGUCUCCUAAAUUCCCCCAGGAUGAGUCUGGGUGUGAAUGGAGGCUUGGAGAACAUCCUGAGAUGUGUUUGCCUGGUUUAUGCAUUUUCCUUUUCUGAAUAUCUCCAAUCAUUUUUUGAAUUUAUCCAAACUUUUUGCUCCAAGCUGCUGCAGAGUUCCACAGUUCCAAAUCCCUUCUUCUGGCAUCUCCUUUGUUUGUAUUGAGCUGGGCACUCACUGGGUUGAUUUGUUCUGAAGUAAUUGCUACCCAAGAACAGAUUUGUUGCCUUUUCAUCUUCUCAGCCACUCCUCACAUCACUCUGGAUUCUGCAGGUCUCCAUCAUCCCUUCCUCAUUCAUCCCACUGCCAGGCUGGAUUCCAACCUGUCCUUUUGCUCCUUAUUCCAAUACCACCAAUCCAUGAUGGAUCAUCUCUUCAGUGAUGGAUUUUCCAUGAAAAUUUUACAGAAUUAUUAUAAGGUGACCAGAACCACACACAAUUUUCAAGAUAUGAGGACAUUACCCAUAGAAAAAUGCUUUAUAUUUUCUUCUUCAUUUCCCUAGAAUAUCUCUAAUUUAAUUUGCCUUUUUUUUUUUUUUUGACUGAUACUUCUGCUGAAUUAUCAUUUCCAUACAAGAAUUGCAGGCCCAAGACCUCAUUUUUCAGUACUAGCAGUGCCAGAGCCUGCCAUUGUUCAAUCCCUCACCAGCUCUCUUGAACCCCCUUUAAGGACUGGAAGGGGCUCUCAGGUCUCCUUGCAGCCUUCUCUUCUCCAGGAUGAAUAAACCCCUAUACCCACAGGAGAGCUGAAUGCUGUGAAUGGGUUUGUUUGAAUGCAGGUCCCAGUAGCAACCAAAUUUACAUCAAAACCUACCUGUUCUCUUAUGACUUUUCUAAAGAUUUAUCACAGCACUUGGUAAUGCGAGGAUAGAAAAAGGCUGCCAAGGGUUUUAAAAGGAAAAAUCAUCAUUUAAAUUAACAGCAAAAUACACAGACCUUCAGCAUAAAAAAAAAAUACAUCUCACCCGUUCACCUUAAAAAAUACAAAAAACUAGUAUUCAGUAGAGUCAAUAAAAGUUAAAUUUUCUUAUGUGUAAUCCACUGUUGGCUGAAGAACAGUAGCAUUUCAAAUAGAUUUGCUUAUUAAAAUGAAGAUAUCUUUUGAUAAAAUACCCUGAUUUCCUGGGAUUUCAAUUCUUGCACUUAGAAAUGAAAAGAAGUAAAGGCAGAAUUCAGUGAAAAUCUCCUUCCCUUCCCUUCCCUUCCCUUCCCUUCCCUUCCCUUCCCUUCCCUUCCCUUCCCUUCCCUUCCCUUCCCUUCCCUUCCCUUCCCUUCCCUUCCCUUCCCUUCCCUUCCCUUCCCUUCCCUUCCCUUCCCUUCCCUUCCCUUCCCUUCCCUUCCCUUCCCUUCCCUUCCCUUCCCUUCCCUUCCCUUCCCUUCCCUUCCCUUCCCUUCCCUUCCCUUCCCUUCCCUUCCCUUCCCUUCCCCCAUUUUUGGCAUUUUAGCAGGGACAGCUGUGCAGAGAUAUUGAGGGUGGAGGCCAAGGACUGAUGGUCCAGGUUGCCAGAGUUUUUACCAAAUUUGUGGGAUGGGACUCAGAAAUGUCCCAAUUUCUGGUUAUUUCAGUGGCAUUUGCAAGAACAGCUGUGGAGCACCAAAGCAGAACAAAGGGUUGGAACUAU